UCUGGCUGAACGACUGAACGGCGCGCUCAUGCGGUGUCCAGCUGUAACACUCCGGUUCAGACUUCCAGCUUCAACCUGAUGACACAUCCCUGUCACGUGACAGACAGAUCACGUUCAGCUGCUGUGUGAACGUAAAUCAUGCUGAAUCUCACGCGCGUGCUGCUGAUGAUUUUACUAAGAUCAGCCGCUUGCCAAGUCGUAGUGUGAAGCAGCCGGGAGAAGAAUAACGCCGGUCAGACGCAGACAGGUAGUCUGACCAGAGGAGGAUGGGUCCCCCGAGCCUUGGUUUCUCCCAAGGUUUGUUCUUCCAGCUCAGGGUGAGUGUUUCCUUCAAUUGUUGCUCACUGGGGAUUUAAUGGUCUGUCUUGCUGUCUGGCAAAAAAAAAAAAAAAUACACAUCAGAUCUGGUGAUAAAAUCAGAUUGGGGCACUUUUACCUGCUGUGUGAAUGUAGCGUUAGAUAUACAGUCAUGUCUGAAUGGAGGUUUAGUGAUUGCUAAUGACAACACAGUUAGACUCAUGACAAGCUAUGAACAUCAGAGUGCAGGGUUCCCUUUUGAUUCAGAUCCUGAAAUCACUACACUGAGAUAAUGUGGACAGCAAAGCUUUAAGUCAUUAUUCAGGACCCAAGGCAACACAGUGACCCCAGUGCUCUGCAGUGAUGCUAAGAAAGAGAAAGAACCAAGACUCAACAAAUACAAUUACAUAAUGCUGAAAUACGAUCUGUGAGAUUAGGAAAAUGUAUUUUUGCCAGCUGCUUCCCUUCAGAAAACAACGUAGCUGGUGUUUAUUUCAUACCUAUGCUUGGUAAACCUCAGCGGGUCUCGCUUUAGGAGCCAAGCGAAAAACAACAAAAAAAAGAAGAAAUUGUGGAAAAUGAGGUAAUGUGCUGCUUACAAUUUCAUGGUUUAUUUAUGUUGUGGUCCUCCUCUUCAGCCGAUUUGAAGAAUUCAGAGCUGAAAUCUUUCUUUUUCAUGCUGUAUUGUUUUCAUUAUACAGUGGAAGGAUGCAAGUCAACCUUAUCUGGGAAGGGCUGCCCACGCUCAGCGGUGCCUCCUCACACAGCAGACAGGAUGAACAGACGAAUAGAAAUGCUUCAAAAAUCUUCACAAUCUUUUUACACUGACUUCAACGUUUUUUUUUUUUUUAUGUAA
This 1153-nucleotide long non-coding RNA is filed under the name Astyanax mexicanus (Mexican tetra). RNAcentral's name for it is "lncRNA (ENSAMXG00005005156.1)". Lineage: Eukaryota; Metazoa; Chordata; Actinopteri; Characiformes; Acestrorhamphidae. The record is from RNAcentral.